GGCAUGAUGGAAUUAUAAAGCUCAGGAGGGAUAGCGCCCGCUGCAAGACACGCCCGUAUCUCAAGUGGCGCUAUCCAUCCUGGGCUUCAUAAUUUCUUUAUACC
This 104-nucleotide microRNA precursor is filed under the name Picea abies (Norway spruce). Its description in RNAcentral is "miR390b stem-loop (pab-MIR390b)". Its record names the gene pab-MIR390b. The record is from miRBase by way of RNAcentral. Lineage: Eukaryota; Viridiplantae; Streptophyta; Pinopsida; Pinales; Pinaceae.